Long non-coding RNA from Hippocampus comes (tiger tail seahorse), 301 nucleotides. RefSeq lists it as uncharacterized. NCBI's taxonomy places the organism in Eukaryota, Metazoa, Chordata, Actinopteri, Syngnathiformes, Syngnathidae. The transcript is spliced from 2 exons. The record is from RefSeq and is a predicted model, not a curated record.
UCUGAUGCCAUGAUGCUACAAGAGAAAAGAAGAGAAUAAGAUUGUCUGCAACUUCCAUGCUUUAUAACGACGCUUCCUGCCUGUAGAUGGCGUGAAAAAUACACAAAUGGUGGAGCUUAAAGGUGCUGCUGCUGUUGCAUUGCAUGCAUGUUUGCUGUCAGCAGCCUGGACCAAGGCAACGCCUGGGUGUGGUCCCCGCUUGGCGUGCUUCCUUUUAGGUAUGGCUAGUCAUUAGCAUGCUGAUCAAGUGCGUUUGAUUGCAGUCAUGUGUUUUGCCUUUUUUUUUUUUCUUCUUUUGCAU